RNAcentral lists this ribosomal RNA (365 nucleotides) under Hemipyxis plagioderoides. RNAcentral's name for it is "partial 16S ribosomal RNA". Lineage: Eukaryota; Metazoa; Arthropoda; Insecta; Coleoptera; Chrysomelidae. The record is from RNAcentral.
UUAAAUGGCCGCGGUAUUUUAACCGUGCUAAGGUAGCAUAAUAAUUAGUUUCUUAAUUAGAAGCUGGAAUGAAGGGUUGGAUGAAAAAAUAACUGUCUCUAUUUUAAUAAUUUAGAAAUUUAUUUUUAAGUUAAAAAGCUUAAAUAUUUUUAAAAGACGAGAAGACCCUAUAGAGUUUAAUAUUUUAUUUUUAAUUAAUUAUUUGGAAUUUUUUGUUAUUAAUUUUAAAAUAUUUAAUUGGGGUGAUUAAAAAAUUUAAUUAACUUUUUUUAUAUAAAUAUAUAUAUAAAUAAUUUUAUGAUCCAAUUUUAUUGAUUAAAAGAUAAAUUACCUUAGGGAUAACAGCGUAAUUUUAUUUUAAAGUU